This 1973-nucleotide long non-coding RNA is filed under the name Centruroides sculpturatus (bark scorpion). Its description in RNAcentral is "uncharacterized LOC111641946". The record is from RNAcentral. Lineage: Eukaryota; Metazoa; Arthropoda; Arachnida; Scorpiones; Buthidae.
AUUAAACAUAUAAAUAUUGUGAUUAAUGAUAACAAAUUAUGACGUAACACAAUCUGCUUUGUAUUAUAAUGAAACAUAUGUUAUUGGUAAAUGCGAUCAUUAAUACAUUCGUUCAAUUAUAACAAUAUCUAUCAAUUUAAAAAAAAAUUAAUUGCCAUUUAUUGGCUUAUAAUAUACAGAUGCGUUGUGUGACGUAUUAGGAUAAAAUUAUUUCGUUUUCACUGUUCACGAGGCACAGCGUGAAAUGGGAUUUAAUGGACAUUUUUUCAACAUUUAACAAAUAAUAAGAACUUUAAAAUAUUAUUUUCAUAUUCUAUUUAUUUAAAAAGUAAUUUAAAUUCUUAAUUAGUUUAUACAGCAUUUCGAACGUGAAACAAAAUACAAGGGAAGCGGCGCAUCCACCGCUUCUAAUGACGGCACGCCACUGGUAAAAUCACAAUCCCUUCAGAUUUGGAUACAGUAGUUACGUCCUUAUCAGAGCUAACUUCUAAAAUAUAUUCCGAUAUAAGUAACAUCAAAAAGAAGCCCAUAGAAUGGUUGUGCGAGCGUGCUAUCUUAACUCCGAGAAACGAUAGCCGCAAUUAAUGAUAUCCUAUUAAAGGCCUUCGAAGCUCAAGAUCUUGAAUACAGGUCUUUUGAUUCAGUGAUCCAAACGGACGACGCCGUCCACUAUCCGACAGAAUUUCUUAAUACUCUGAAUCCUCCUGGUCUGCCAUCACAUAAACUCAUUCUUAAAGUCGGAGCACCUGUAAUGAUAUUAAGAAAUCUUAAUCCACCAAAAUUAUGCAAUGGUAUGAGACUACAAGUAAAAGCUUUGCAUAAGAACAUUGUAGAAGCUACAGUGAUCACUGGAUGUGCUCGAGGAGAGAUAGUUUUUAUCCCAAGAAUACCAUUAAUACCAUCAGAAUAUCCGUUCGAAUUUAAGAGAACACAGUCCCCUCUCAAGAUGUGUUUUGCCAUGACUAUUAAUAAAUCACAAGGACUGAAAAUGGCCGGCAUCGACUUGAGUGGAGCUAUUUUUCUCAUGGACAGUUCUUUGUCGCAUGUUCCAGAGUAAGCUCUGCGAAUAGUCUGGUCAUCUUAGCCCCGAACGGUUGUACUGCAAACAUGGUUUACAAAGAGGUUCUGGGGUAACUGAAACUAUUUUUCUAAUGUCUAACGGUCAAAGAAAACUGUCUGGUUACCAGUACAAAAAAAGAAGGCUGGAAAAGGAAGCCGAAAGGCAAAAACAAGCUGGCGCGUUAAAAAAUUAUAUCUAGAGUUGUACCAAAACAAAUGACGACUCUGAAAACUCAACAUCAAGUCCGGUUAUAAAAGAAAAUACAAAAUCAUCAAAGGAUGAUGAUGACAAACAAAUGGACAAAGUUUCUAAAUCAAUUGGAACUGACGACACUGAGUCUAUCAUCACCAGAUGAAAGCAUUGAAAAAAUUGACACCAACGUGACUCCCAUAGAAAGCGUUCUAUUAAACUCUGAGUACCGAUCCAGCAUUGUGGCCAAAAAUUCUAGGAGACGCCGAGAAAUGUUUUUUAGUAAGACAAGAUCCACCUAAACCAUUGCAUAAUUACAAAUUUCCUUCCAAUGACACUGGUCGACAUUUUAGCGUAAAUUAUUAUACACAAAGUUUUAAUCAAUGGAGAGUAAGUUUUACGAGAUUGGCAAGUGUACUCUCUUUCACAAAACUGCGUUUACUGCUUCUGUUGCAAAAUUUUCGGCUGUAUAGUUAGUUCUCUUUCAAAGGAGGGUUUUAAAAGUUGGAAGCACCUUGGCGAAACUUUAAAAGAGCAUGAAAUUUCUUUAGACCCAUUUCCCUGACCGGUUGUUUGAAUCCACCUCUCUCCCGCCAGACGGCAUAAGAGCGCUCUGGCGCUGCAGAUUUUGUCAUUUCUCGUGUGUUUUGUCCUGUUUGGUUGUUUGAACCCACCUCUCUCCCGCCAGACGGCAUAAGAGCGCUCUGGCGCUGCAGAUUUUGUC